This 311-nucleotide ribosomal RNA is filed under the name bacterium ER-Te-50. RNAcentral's name for it is "bacterial SSU rRNA". It matches the Rfam family "Bacterial small subunit ribosomal RNA", at positions 441 to 745 of the family's 1533-position model. The record is from RNAcentral.
UGGGAGGAAAUGCUGUAGAUUAAUACUCUGCAAUGUUGACGUUACCGGCAGAAUAAGCACCGGCUAACUUUGUACCAGCAGCCGCGGUAAACAGAGGGUGCAAGCGUUAAUCGGAAUUACUGGGCGUAAAGCGAGCGUAGGUGGUUUGUUAAGUCGGAUGUGAAAUCCCCGGGCUCAACCUGGGAACUGCAUUCAAAACUGCCUGACUAGAGUAUGGUAGAGGGUGGUGGAAUUUCCUGUGUAGCGGUGAAAUGCGUAGAUAUAGGAAGGAACACCAGUGGCGAAGGCGACCACCUGGACUAACACUGACA